UGCCCAGCAACUCCUAUCCCUACCUCCUCGCGGUACUGUCCGGGGUACGAAUAACCUUAGGGAAGAUCGGGUAACCAACCCCCGGUGUUAACUUAGGUCGUAUUUUUUUUCCUUCUAAGCAAUGGGGGGACAAUCUGCUCAACAGACUCCGGACUUUGGUCGUAUGCUGACAAAAAAGG
This 179-nucleotide ribozyme is filed under the name Aedes aegypti (yellow fever mosquito). RNAcentral describes it as "drz-agam-1 ribozyme". It matches the Rfam family "drz-agam-1 ribozyme". The record is from Rfam by way of RNAcentral. Lineage: Eukaryota; Metazoa; Arthropoda; Insecta; Diptera; Culicidae.